GACGAACGCUGGCGGCGUGCUUAACACAUGCAAGUCGAACGGUAAGGCUCCAGCUUGCUGGGGUACACGAGUGGCGAACGGGUGAGUAACACGUGGGUGACCUGCCCUGCACUUCGGGAUAAGCCUGGGAAACUGGGUCUAAUACCGGAUAGGACCGCACCGUGAGGGUGUGGUGGAAAGUUUUUUCGGUGUGGGAUGGGCCCGCGGCCUAUCAGCUUGUUGGUGGGGUAAUGGCCUACCAAGGCGGCGACGGGUAGCCGGCCUGAGAGGGUGGACGGCCACAUUGGGACUGAGACACGGCCCAGACUCCUACGGGAGGCAGCAGUGGGGAAUAUUGCACAAUGGGCGGAAGCCUGAUGCAGCGACGCCGCGUGGGGGAUGACGGCCUUCGGGUUGUAAACUCCUUUCACCAUCGACGAAGGGUUUCUGACGGUAGAUGGAGAAGAAGCACCGGCUAACUACGUGCCAGCAGCCGCGGUAAUACGUAGGGUGCGAGCGUUGUCCGGAAUUACUGGGCGUAAAGAGCUCGUAGGUGGUUUGUCGCGUCGUCUGUGAAAAUUCCGGGGCUUAACUCCGGGCGUGCAGGCGAUACGGGGCAUAACUUUGAGUACUGUAGGGGAGACUGGAAUUCCUGGUGUAGCGGUGAAAUGCGCAGAUAUCAGGAGGAACACCCGGUGGCGAAGGCGGGUCUCUGGGCAGAACUGACUCUGAGGAGCGAAAGCAUGGGGAGCGAACAGAUUAAAUACCCUUGUCGUCCAAGGGCGAAUUCCCAGGGUAUCAAGCUAAGGUUCCGUCGACUCCGGGGAAAUAUAUAAUAUAAAAAAUUUUUCUCUUUAUGUACGUUUAUUAA
This 850-nucleotide ribosomal RNA is filed under the name uncultured Corynebacterium sp. Its description in RNAcentral is "bacterial SSU rRNA". It matches the Rfam family "Bacterial small subunit ribosomal RNA". Lineage: Bacteria; Bacillati; Actinomycetota; Actinomycetes; Mycobacteriales; Corynebacteriaceae. The record is from RNAcentral.